Molecule: long non-coding RNA, 441 nt
Filed under: Sorghum bicolor (sorghum)
Lineage: Eukaryota; Viridiplantae; Streptophyta; Magnoliopsida; Poales; Poaceae
Description: long non-coding RNA (SBIC_LNC012494)
Source: RNAcentral
UGUUUGUAGGACCGUAGUCGGAGCUUCCUAGCCCCCUUCUCAUCUCUUUCUGUGGUUAGUGUUCUGAUGUCCCGAUAUAGAUAAUCUUGAAGUAAAUCUUGAUUCUUAGAUCAACUAGAGAACUCUCAGGAAACUUCCUCUCUUCCCACCAAAAAUAAUUAUAUAGUUAUCCUUGGGCGAUCUUGGAUCUUAAUUAGUACACUCACGUUCUCUGUGGAAAAUCGAUACUCUGGAAUACUCCCGGGUGAAAGCUACAUCGGUAUCCGUGCGCUUGCGGAUUUUUCUGUUUGCGUUUAAAAUACCCAACAGGGAGUUUAAAUUAAGCAUGAUGCUUAGGUUAAAAUGCCCUCCUAAAUCAAAUUAGACAUGGUGUCUAGGUUGAUCUUUGAGCCGAUAGUAUGCUAUUGUAGAUAUUGGAUAUUUUGUUGGACUAACCCCUGC